RNAcentral lists this ribosomal RNA (318 nucleotides) under Triticum aestivum (bread wheat). RNAcentral describes it as "partial small subunit ribosomal RNA". The record is from RNAcentral. Lineage: Eukaryota; Viridiplantae; Streptophyta; Magnoliopsida; Poales; Poaceae.
AUGUAGGGUAUGGCUCUGGCUAUCGAGCAUUGUGGGCUACCUAUCAUUGUCCAGUCGGAUUCUUCUGUCGCCCUUUUCGCCCUGUCUAGCGACAGUUUAUCUAGAUCUGCGUACGGGCAUUUAGUCGCUGAGAUUAGUCAUCUUAUGGUAGAUAGAGUCUUUAUUCCCUCGAAAAUUAGUCGUGUACAAAAUAGGGUAGCAGAUCAUCUGGCCAUGUAUAGUCGUACAGAGAGAACUACUGCUGUAUGGCUUGGACGAGGUCCACCGUGUGUUGAGGAUCUCUUGCCUCGUGAUUGUAACCCUAUGCCUAUGAAAUAA